RNAcentral lists this unclassified non-coding RNA (225 nucleotides) under fungal sp. RNAcentral describes it as "partial internal transcribed spacer region". The stretch from base 1 to 46 matches the Rfam family "Eukaryotic small subunit ribosomal RNA", at positions 1786 to 1831 of the family's 1831-position model. The record is from RNAcentral. Lineage: Eukaryota; Fungi.
AAGUCGUAACAAGGUUUCCGUAGGUGAACCUGCGGAAGGAUCAUUAACAAAAGAGGAAGGAAAGGGGGCGGGCGCAAGCUCUCCGUCUUUCGUCUUUCCACGAUCCUCAAUGUAUUCACCCCAGAUUCCUUAAAACUCGAAAAAAUUAAAAGACACCUCGCUUAUUAGGUGGCGAUUAAUAAAUGCGCAAAGCGAAAACUUUCAACAACGGAUCUCUUGGCUCUC